Molecule: unclassified non-coding RNA, 329 nt
Filed under: soil metagenome
Description: partial contains 5.8S ribosomal RNA, internal transcribed spacer 2, and large subunit ribosomal RNA
Rfam family: 5.8S ribosomal RNA (bases 1-120)
Source: RNAcentral
GAUGAAGAACGUAGUGAAAUGCGAUACGUAAUGUGAAUUGCAGAUUUCAGUGAAUCAUCGAAUCUUUGAACGCACAUUGCGCCCGCCAGUAUUCUGGCGGGCAUGCCUGUUCGAGCGUCAUUUCAACCAUCAAGCCUUCGCUUGUGUAGGGGCCCCGCGGCUGCCGCGGUCCCCUAAAUCCAGUGGCGGGCUCGUCGUCGUACCGAGCGCAGUAGACAUCCUCGCUCCGGGAACCCGACGGGUGCCGGCCGUGAAACCCCCCACAUCAAGGUUGACCUCGGAUCAGGUAGGAAUACCCGCUGAACUUAAGCAUAUCAAUAAGCGGAGGA